AGCGAACGCUGGCGGCAGGCCUAACACAUGCAAGUCGAACGAACCUUUCGGGGUUAGUGGCGGACGGGUGAGUAACACGUGGGAACGUGCCUUUAGGUUCGGAAUAACUCAGGGAAACUUGUGCUAAUACCGAAUGUGCCCUUCGGGGGAAAGAUUUAUCGCCUUUAGAGCGGCCCGCGUCUGAUUAGCUAGUUGGUUGAGGUAAUGGCUCACCAAGGCGACGAUCAGUAGCUGGUCUGAGAGGAUGAUCAGCCACAUUGGGACUGAGACACCGCCCAAACACCUACGGGAGGCAGCAGUGGGGAAUCUUGCGCAAUGGGCGAAAGCCUGACGCAGCCAUGCCGCGUGAAUGAUGAAGGUCUUAGGAUUGUAAAAUUCUUUCACCGGGGACGAUAAUGACGGUACCCGGAGAAGAAGCCCCGGCUAACUUCGUG
Molecule: ribosomal RNA, 434 nt
Filed under: uncultured bacterium
Lineage: Bacteria
Description: partial 16S ribosomal RNA
Rfam family: Bacterial small subunit ribosomal RNA
Source: RNAcentral